Molecule: ribosomal RNA, 445 nt
Filed under: uncultured bacterium
Lineage: Bacteria
Description: bacterial SSU rRNA
Rfam family: Bacterial small subunit ribosomal RNA
Source: RNAcentral
GUGAGGAAUAUUGGUCAAUGGGCGAGAGCCUGAACCAGCCAAGUAGCGUGCAGGAAGAAUGUCCUAUGGAUUGUAAACUGCUUUUAUACGGGAAUAAAGUUCACCACGUGUGGUGAUUUGCAUGUACCGUAUGAAUAAGGAUCGGCUAACUCCGUGCCAGCAGCCGCGGUAAUACGGAGGAUCCGAGCGUUAUCCGGAUUUAUUGGGUUUAAAGGGAGCGCAGGUGGGCGUGUAAGUCAGUUGUGAAAGUUCGUGGCUCAACCACGGAAUUGCAGUUGAAACUGCAUGCCUUGAGUGCGGUAGAGGUAGGCGGAAUUCAUGGUGUAGCGGUGAAAUGCUUAGAUAUCAUGAAGAACCCCGAUUGCGAAGGCAGCUUACUGGACCGUAACUGACACUCAUGCUCGAAAGUGCGGGUAUCAAACAGGAUUAGAAACCCUAGUAGUCC